GCCGGGAUAGUUCAACGGUAGAAUUCGGGACUGUGGAUCCUGAGGCCAGGGUUCAACUCCCUGUCCCGGCACCA
Molecule: transfer RNA, 74 nt
Filed under: Candidatus Heimdallarchaeota archaeon
Lineage: Archaea; Promethearchaeati; Candidatus Heimdallarchaeota
Description: tRNA-His
Rfam family: tRNA
About the family: Transfer RNA (tRNA) molecules are approximately 80 nucleotides in length. Their secondary structure includes four short double-helical elements and three loops (D, anti-codon, and T loops).
Source: RNAcentral